CCAGCACUCGAAAGAAUGCUUGACUCAAGACAGAGCUCUGUAAACAUUUGUUCAAUGGGUGGAUGAAUGAUCAAUGGAUCACAUUGAACAUAGAAGAGUGUCAGGGAGAUAGAAUCACUUUCCCAAGAGUUAUACGGGCAGCCAAGUGACUAGAACCCCUACAUUUCAGCUGGACCCAUGGCAACCUGUAAUGAAGAUUACAUAUUCCCUCCUUCGUCUUAAGUACGGCCAUUGCUCUGCCAAUUCUGGGCCUAGCCCUUAAGAGAACAGGCAGCGUCUGCCAAGGCCUCUUGGAUCCAUGCGCUGCCACGGAAAAGGUCAAGCCACUCUGCAGAAGAGACCACCUGGAGGGGCCCCAUGACUGCCUGGCGAAGGAGAGGAACCCAUUCGAGCUCAGCGUCGCAGUCACCCCACGAAGCACUGGCCAUUCCAGGAUUGCCAUCUCCAGCCUCAGGUGAGCCCAGCCUGAACACAACCAAGUGACUAAUGCCUGUAGAUCCAUCGAAAGAUCCCCAACUUAGACCUCUCCAAAUUUCUGA
This is a long non-coding RNA of Myotis davidii, 539 nucleotides long. RefSeq lists it as uncharacterized. The transcript is spliced from 3 exons. The record is from RefSeq and is a predicted model, not a curated record. NCBI's taxonomy places the organism in Eukaryota, Metazoa, Chordata, Mammalia, Chiroptera, Vespertilionidae.